GGUUAAGCGAAUAAGCGUACACGGUGGAUGCCUAGGCAAUCAGAGGCGAUGAAGGACGUGCUAAUCUGCGAAAAGCGUCGGUAAGGUGAUAUGAACCGUUAUACCCGACGAUAUCCGAAUGGGGAAACCCAGUAUCCAAUGGAUACUAUCAUUAACUGAAUCCAUAGGUUAAUGAGGCGAACCGGGAGAACUGAAACAUCUCAGUACCCCGAGGAAAAGAAAUCAACCGAGAUUCCCCUAGUAGCGGCGAGCGAACGGGGAGCAGCCCAGAGUCUUAAUCAAUAGCAGUGUCAGGAGAACGGUCUGGAAAGUCCGGCAGUAAAGGGUGAUAGCCCCGUAUCUGAAGAUGCUGUUAUUGUGAACUCGACGAGUAGGGCGGGACACGUGUUAUCCUGUCUGAAUAUGGGGGGACCAUCCUCCAAGGCUAAAUACUCCUGAUUGACCGAUAGUGAACCAGUACCGUGAGGGAAAGGCGAAAAGAACCCCGGCGAGGGGAGUGAAAAAGAACCUGAAACCGUGUACGUACAAGCAGUAGGAGCCUCUUUAUGGGGUGACUGCGUACCUUUUGUAUAAUGGGUCAGCGACUUAUAUUCUGUAGCGAGGUUAACCGUAUAGGGGAGCCGUAGGGAAACCGAGUCUUAACUGGGCGAAUGAGUUGCAGGGUAUAGACCCGAAACCCGGUGAUCUAUCCAUGGGCAGGUUGAAGGUUGGGUAACACUAACUGGAGGACCGAACCGACUAAUGUUGAAAAAUUAGCGGAUGACUUGUGGAUGGGGGUGAAAGGCCAAUCAAACCGGGAGAUAGCUGGUUCUCCCCGAAAGCUAUUUAGGUAGCGCCUCGUGAAUUCAUCUUCGGGGGUAGAGCACUGUUUCGACUAGGGGGUCAUCCCGACUUACCAACUCGAUGCAAACUGCGAAUACCGAAGAAUGUUAUCACGGGAGACACACGGCGGGUGCUAACGUCCGUCGUGAAGAGGGAAACAACCCAGACCGCCAGCUAAGGUCCCAAAGUCAUGGUUAAGUGGGAAACGAAGUGGGAAGGCUCAGACAGCCAGGAUGUUGGCUUAGAAGCAGCCAUCAUUUAAAGAAAGCGUAAUAGCUCACUGGUCGAGUCGGCCCGCGCGGAAGAUGUAACGGGGCUAAACCAUGCACCGAAGCUGCGGCAGCGA
Molecule: ribosomal RNA, 1168 nt
Filed under: Proteus mirabilis
Lineage: Bacteria; Pseudomonadati; Pseudomonadota; Gammaproteobacteria; Enterobacterales; Morganellaceae
Description: partial 23S ribosomal RNA
Rfam family: Bacterial large subunit ribosomal RNA
Source: RNAcentral